AGAGUUUGAUCCUGGCUCAGAUUGAACGCUGGCGGCAGGCUUAACACAUGCAAGUCGAGCGGUAGCACAGGAGAGCUUGCUCUCUGGGUGACGAGCGGCGGACGGGUGAGUAAUGUCUGGGAAACUGCCUGAUGGAGGGGGAUAACUACUGGAAACGGUAGCUAAUACCGCAUAACGUCGCAAGACCAAAGAGGGGGACCUUCGGGCCUCUUGCCAUCAGAUGUGCCCAGAUGGGAUUAGCUAGUAGGUGGGGUAAUGGCUCACCUAGGCGACGAUCCCUAGCUGGUCUGAGAGGAUGACCAGCCACACUGGAACUGAGACACGGUCCAGACUCCUACGGGAGGCAGCAGUGGGGAAUAUUGCACAAUGGGCGCAAGCCUGAUGCAGCCAUGCCGCGUGUGUGAAGAAGGCCUUCGGGUUGUAAAGCACUUUCAGCGAGGAGGAAGGUGGUGAGCUUAAUACGCUCAUCAAUUGACGUUACUCGCAGAAGAAGCACCGGCUAACUCCGUGCCAGCAGCCGCGGUAAUACGGAGGGUGCAAGCGUUAAUCGGAAUUACUGGGCGUAAAGCGCACGCAGGCGGUUUGUUAAGUCAGAUGUGAAAUCCCCGGGCUCAACCUGGGAACUGCAUUUGAAACUGGCAAGCUAGAGUCUCGUAGAGGGGGGUAGAAUUCCAGGUGUAGCGGUGAAAUGCGUAGAGAUCUGGAGGAAUACCGGUGGCGAAGGCGGCCCCCUGGACGAAGACUGACGCUCAGGUGCGAAAGCGUGGGGAGCAAACAGGAUUAGAUACCUGGUAGUCCACGCUGUAAACGAUGUCGAUUUGGAGGUUGUGCCCUUGAGGCGUGGCUUCCGGAGCUAACGCGUUAAAUCGACCGCCUGGGGAGUACGGCCGCAAGGUUAAAACUCAAAUGAAUUGACGGGGGCCCGCACAAGCGGUGGAGCAUGUGGUUUAAUUCGAUGCAACGCGAAGAACCUUACCUACUCUUGACAUCCAGAGAACUUUCCAGAGAUGGAUUGGUGCCUUCGGGAACUCUGAGACAGGUGCUGCAUGGCUGUCGUCAGCUCGUGUUGUGAAAUGUUGGGUUAAGUCCCGCAACGAGCGCAACCCUUAUCCUUUGUUGCCAGCGGUUCGGCCGGGAACUCAAAGGAGACUGCCAGUGAUAAACUGGAGGAAGGUGGGGAUGACGUCAAGUCAUCAUGGCCCUUACGAGUAGGGCUACACACGUGCUACAAUGGCAUAUACAAAGAGAAGCGACCUCGCGAGAGCAAGCGGACCUCAUAAAGUAUGUCGUAGUCCGGAUUGGAGUCUGCAACUCGACUCCAUGAAGUCGGAAUCGCUAGUAAUCGUAGAUCAGAAUGCUACGGUGAAUACGUUCCCGGGCCUUGUACACACCGCCCGUCACACCAUGGGAGUGGGUUGCAAAAGAAGUAGGUAGCUUAACCUUCGGGAGGGCGCUUACCACUUUGUGAUUCAUGACUGGGGUGAAGUCGUAACAAGGUAACCGUAGGGGAACCUGCGGCUGGAUCACCUCCUU
Molecule: ribosomal RNA, 1533 nt
Filed under: uncultured Serratia sp.
Lineage: Bacteria; Pseudomonadati; Pseudomonadota; Gammaproteobacteria; Enterobacterales; Yersiniaceae
Description: bacterial SSU rRNA
Rfam family: Bacterial small subunit ribosomal RNA
Source: RNAcentral